RNAcentral lists this long non-coding RNA (763 nucleotides) under Parus major (Great Tit). Its description in RNAcentral is "lncRNA (ENSPMJG00000019985.1)". The record is from RNAcentral. Lineage: Eukaryota; Metazoa; Chordata; Aves; Passeriformes; Paridae.
AGAGUGAAGGAAGGGAAUGCUGGAGCCUGGCUGAGACUCUGGAGGUCUCUGCAGUGGUUUUGCACAAGUUGUCUAGAAAAAGGACAAAGUCUCCUGGUUGAGAAUUCGUGGCAUGAAGGUCUGAGCAAGAGGAACUGUACUUUCCUUUGCAUCACUGGCAUUUCAGCCCAGAGCUCUCCCACAUCUCAUAAGCUGCUUUGAGCCCAUGCAGUACACAGAGUGGAAAAAAAAAAGAAUUGAAGAAGCAAAAAUAAAUAUUAAAGCACGUAAGAAUUAAAUAUCACCUAUUCAAAUAGCAAUUAUGCCGUUGAAAACAAGAUCACCACACCUGUACAAGAAAAGACAACCAAGCCUAAAACAUCUGUUUGGAUCCACCUGCCAAGCACCUGUUCUGCUGUUUCAAUGCCAUUUGAUUGCUGGAGAUGUAGAGGCUCUUGUGAGGUUUCUUGCACAGUUGUUUGCUUUGUGCUGAUGGAAGAUGCUGCAGAGUCAGGUCUUUAUCCACAGACCAGUUUCCACACCGGGAACUGCGGGAUAAAUCAGCCCAUGCUCCUCAUCAUGGAGAAUUCAGCAGCUGCUUGGGAUCAUCUCCCAGAGAUGAAGGAGAUGUGGAAGUCAAACUGAGAGGCUGCAGCAUCCCCUCUGCCUCUUCCCAAGACACUGGUGCAAUGCUGCCCCUGAACACAGGGUGAAACAAGGCUCUGGAAAUGAGCACAACUCGUGUCCAGCAGGGAUGUUGACAAGUAUAGGUGGGUUUUUGAGG